UACGUAGGGGGCAAGCGUUAUCCGGAUUUACUGGGUGUAAAGGGAGCGUAGACGGCGGUGCAAGCCAGAUGUGAAAGCCCGGGGCUCAACCCCGGGACUGCAUUUGGAACUGUGCUGCUAGAGUGUCGGAGAGGCAGGCGGAAUUCCUAGUGUGGCGGUGAAAUGCGUAGAUAUUAGGAGGAACACCAGUGGCGAAGGCGGCCUGCUGGACGAUGACUGACGUUGAGGCUCGAAAGCGUGGGGAGCAAACAGG
RNAcentral lists this ribosomal RNA (253 nucleotides) under uncultured bacterium. Its description in RNAcentral is "partial 16S ribosomal RNA". It matches the Rfam family "Bacterial small subunit ribosomal RNA", at positions 524 to 776 of the family's 1533-position model. The record is from RNAcentral.